CCGUAAGUUUUAAAGGGCGCACGGUGGAUGCCUUGGCACAAGGAGCCGACGAAGGACGUGGGAGUCUGCGUUAAGCCUCGGGGAGUUGACAACCGAACUGUGAUCCGAGGAUGUCCGAAUGGGGAAACCCACCACGAGUCAUGUCGUGGUACCCGCUGCUGAAUGUAUAGGCAGUGUGGAGGGAACGCGGGGAAGUGAAACAUCUCAGUACCCGCAGGAAGAGAAAACAAAUAGUGUAUUCCGUGAGUAGUGGCGAGCGA
Molecule: ribosomal RNA, 260 nt
Filed under: Lonsdalea populi
Lineage: Bacteria; Pseudomonadati; Pseudomonadota; Gammaproteobacteria; Enterobacterales; Pectobacteriaceae
Description: partial 23S ribosomal RNA
Rfam family: Bacterial large subunit ribosomal RNA
Source: RNAcentral